RNAcentral lists this long non-coding RNA (404 nucleotides) under Homo sapiens (human). RNAcentral describes it as "HSALNT0074866". Lineage: Eukaryota; Metazoa; Chordata; Mammalia; Primates; Hominidae. The record is from RNAcentral.
CCUUCACGUUACCAUUCACCCUAAAAAGACCUUCUUGGCUACUGGCCACGGGCAAACAACUAAAGGUGGUCUCUGGCCAACGACCAGUGAAUAACUGAAAACCCUCAGGUCAACAGCUCACAAGUAACAGAAUCCUGCCAACAACCACAUGAAUGAGCUUGGGAGGGAAUUUUUCCCCUGUUGAGUCCUGAUAUGACUGAAGCCUUGGCUGACACCAUGAUCACGGCCUUGUAACUCUAAGACAGAGGACACAACUAAGAUGUAUCUGGAUUCCUGACCCACAGAAACUAUGAGAUAAUGAUAAAUACUAUUGUUUUAAUCUAUUAUGUUUUGGGGUAAUUUGUUAUGCAGCAAAUGGGUAACGAAUACGAUACGCCUUUCCCUUAAGUUCUGUGGAAUAUCAG